This 70-nucleotide transfer RNA is filed under the name Marmota monax (woodchuck). RNAcentral describes it as "tRNA.Ala". Lineage: Eukaryota; Metazoa; Chordata; Mammalia; Rodentia; Sciuridae. The record is from RNAcentral.
GGGCUGGGGCUCAGUGGUAGAGCGCUUUCCUAGCAUGUGUGAGGCACUGGGUUCAAUCCUCAGCACCACA